This 305-nucleotide unclassified non-coding RNA is filed under the name Roseovarius pacificus. Its description in RNAcentral is "Long range pseudoknot". The record is from RNAcentral. Lineage: Bacteria; Pseudomonadati; Pseudomonadota; Alphaproteobacteria; Rhodobacterales; Roseobacteraceae.
ACGCAUGACUAUGACGUGAAGAUGCGUAACGUACUGAAAUUUCUUGAAAAAGGCGACAAAGUCAAAGUCACGCUGCGGUUUCGCGGUCGCGAAAUGGCGCACCAGGACCUGGGCCGCGACCUGCUGAACCGGGUGGCCGAAGACGUCAAGGACAUCGGCAAGGUCGAGAACAUGCCGAAGAUGGAAGGCCGUCAGAUGAUCAUGGUGAUCGGCCCCAUCGCGCGCUGAGGUCGGGCCAUCCGUUUCGUACAAAACGUACGAAGUGUACGCGGGUUUUGUACGAAAUCCGGGGCUUUCACGAAAGA